UACUAUGUUCCAACAACCCUUAUUGUGUUAGCUUCAUCUUCAUUCACUUGAAAAACUCUUGCAAGUCCGAAGUCAGAUAUCUUCGGAUUCAGGUUCUCAUCUAACAAAAUGUUGCUGGCUUUUAGAUCUCUGUGUAUAAUCUUUAGUCUUGAAUCUCUGUGAAGGUACAAAAGACCUCUGCAAAUCCCUUCCAUUAUGUUGAACCGAGUCCUCCAAUCAAGAAUCUUUUGCUUCAAUGGGUCUGAGAGAAGCUAACAAAAGCAUUAACUUCUUCUUCAAGUAAAAAACAGAGUUAAGAAACAGAGGAGAUAAGUAUACCAAAUAGAUAGGCAUCCAAACUUUUCUUUGGCAUGUAUUCAUAUACUAACAACCUCUCUUCACCUUCUAUGCAACAUCCAAGUAACUUCACCAGAUUCCUAUGUUGCAACUUUGAAAUCACAACAACUUCGUUCAAAAGUUCAUCAAGUCCUUGUCCUGAUGCCCUUGAUAGCCUCUUCACUGCAAUUUCUUGCCCUUCUGAUAAUACUCCCUGAAGAAAAAGAUUACCAGUCGCUUAUUCCGUGAUAGUCUCUUUUGAAAAUGGAUUCUUCAUUAAUGCAUUUACCUUGUAAACAGGACCAAAGCCGCCUUGCCCGAGCUUGUUUCCCAGAGAGAAGUUAUCUGUUGCUGUAGCCAACACUUGAAACUCAAAGAGAGGAAGCUCCUUGAGAUUUGCUUGGUUAGAAGUAGGCUCAUUACCACUUGUAAGUGCUUCCAUUCUCUGUAACAAUAUCUCCGCACUUCUAUUUUCUUGUGGUUCUGCUAAGACAAUGAUGGACUAAGCAAACAAGCUUUUGGUAAAAGAAACAAUCUAACGAGUAAACAAAACUCUAACCUGGACGCUUUUUGAAUUUCCAGCAUGCUAUAAGAAUGCAAACCGUAGCAGCAAACGCAACACCUAGAACAGGUGCUGUGAUCAUAAUAAGUACUCGCUCGCUAUGUGUUUCUACAAAAAGUUAGGUGAAAGAUAUAAGUUAAUGAAGAGUAAAACAAGUGAGACUUAGAGAUUUUUACUCACUGAGUUCAGAAUGUGCAAGUCGAAUGUAAAGAUCAAUGCCACUUCCCAAGAAUGAUUGCAUAUCUACCAAUUCACCACUCCAAAGCAUGCAUCCUAUUCCUUGAUCAUAUGCAUAAGCUGUGCAAGAACAGUUAUCUAAACAAACCUUAGGACAAGCUUCCUUAUUGGCUUGAGACGGUUCCACAUUAACUGGUACUUUCAUCUUCUCCAGUUUCAAAAACCCAUCUCUUUUUCCUCCACCAUUACCACUUCUAUUCCCAAGUCUUUGGCACCGUAAUGGAGCUCUUCUCACACAUCCAUUCAUCCAAUUCCCUGCAGUCCACUCUGUGUUAUUCCUUGGCACAAACCCUUUUACACAUUUACAUUGUGGAUCUUCCCCGGGAUUGCAGCUCCCAUAUGGACCACAUCUACUGUAUGAAUCACAAUCUGUGGAUGGAAACCUAACACCGACUCUCCAAUCAUUCAUAGAAGGUCUCCAAUCUCUCUGAUAUAUAGCUCCGUUAGGAUCCAAGGUAAUGUGAUACAUGAAAGAAUCAUUUGCAUAGGUCAAUGAAACCAUUCCUUGGUUAUCAUUGUUAAGGUUAAGCCCAUCAAUGUUCAGAAGGGUAUCCAUAUCCGGUAAACCGAUGAAUACCUGACCGUUCCAAGGACCGCUACGCCACUUUGUAACAUUGUUGUACUUGGUUAGAAGCUCAGGAAACGGGAAAGGAACAAGACUAACUGUGUAGUUCCCUGUUGAAGGAUCUACAUAGCUUUUCCAAGAAGUAAGUCCUAGAUUCUCUCCGGUUUUGAGGUUGGUCAUAAGAUUCAUUCUUGGCAACAAAGUAUUGUAGUUAUGCUUGAAACUCUCCCACAGAAUAUCUCUGUUGUCUUGUAAUACAAGAUUCCCAUUAUCCAUUAGCUGAACCCAUGUAGCAUUUGGAGACACUGAUGCUGUAACGUUGGUCGACCAUACAUGGCGGUUUUGACCAUCCUUAACCACGAGAUUUCCUUUGCCAGAGAUCGAGAUAACACCAUAAGUGUUGUUGAUGGGGGUGUCUUUGUUAGCAACCCAAACAACAGUUUGAACUGGAACCUUAUCGUACCAGAUCCCAACAUAACGUAAAUGACCAGUGGAGGUUACAGGAGUGAAGAAACCGAACCUGAAAAUACCAUUGUUGCUGAGAAGUGUCUCUGAGCCUUUGACCGGAGUCGAGAAGGUGAUUCUGUCUUCACCAAAAGAGAGCCUUACAGAGAAGCAAGAGAAUGCUGCAAGUAGCAGAAGAAGAAUGUGACGACGUGCGUUUAGUAGAACCACCACCAUAACUAUUUGCUCCGUUGUUUGUUCUCUUUGGAAGGUCUUCCUCAAAAGAGAGGUAUAUUAAUAAUUUAAUAUAGUGGUCUUUGUCUGUAUAAAUAUUUUAGAAUAUGAUGUGAAACAUGAGUCCUAAUAAAAAUAAUAAUGUAGUGAAACAUGCGAUCCAAGAAAAGGGGCAUUUACUUCAACAAAAGUCUUCAGAGAAGGUCAUCAAUUAACAUCCAUCUCUCUGAACAUGAUAAUAAUGUGCUGUGAAUGUCCUUGUUCUACUUGAUUUUCUUUGUCUUUUUGUGAAGUCACAUCCUAAUUAUUCUUUGGAAGAAUAUGUUUAAGAAUUUGUGUUUAAUUAUUUCAAGUAAAGUUAAAAUGCCAGAACUCUGUCAGGUUGCAAUGCCGACAUACUAACUAUAGAUUUUAGUCCUGAAAUAUUUUAGUAUUCACACCAGCUUUACCAUGUCAAAAAAGAAGUUUCAAAAAAGUAAAGAUGCAUGUCCUUCUCUUUGUGGUCUUGCUUGGGUGUAAUUACUAAACCACGGCACCAAUAUAAAUGUCAAGGUUGUUGUGUAGUUAAUGUAUCCAUGAAAGUCAAAAACUCAUCUUCUCCGUAUCCAAGUUUGUCUCAAUACAUAUAGUAAAGUUACCCAAAAAGACAAAACCAUAAUAACGUUUGCAUUCUCUAAACAAUCUACUACUUCUCAAGAACACGGAUAGUUUUUGUUUUAUCAUAUUCUCUCAGGGUAUGUUUCUUCAUCCAGGUUAGUUAAUUCAUCUACGAGUAGGUCAAGUUUCAGUACAAGAAUUGAAGAAUCUAUCGAAAUUAUCAACACAACUUAAUCUGUUUUACCUAUGUUGUUAUAAUUUUGAUAAUAGUACCAAAUCUGUGAUUAGUAAAUCAGAACUUUACUUCUCUCAAAUACAUCUUUUUAUCUUCACUCUAACCAUUAAACAUACACAGAAUAACAAAACUUUGCAAACAUAGAAGGUUCUUAAAACAUAUAUGUAUAUGUAUUAAUAAACGUACAGAUUAGCUGUUUGGGCUUAACGUCCGGUUACAGCUGUGAGGCUCACAUCGUUGAUAGAGACCUUUUGACUGCUCUGGUCAGAAGAUUCAGCGAUUGAAAAUCCUCUUCUUGCUAUAAACGCAGGCUGCUUUGGCUCAGGGAGGUCUGUGUUCUCGGUAGUUAGCAUCCAAAUCAUGGUUGACACAUUUGGUCUAUCGCUUGCAACUUCUUGCACACACAACAAACCAAUCUGAACACACUUUGUAAACUCUUUCUCAAAACACUCAUCAAAGACGGUUGGAUCUGCUAGAGAAUUAGCCUUGCCGUCAUUCCAUAGCUUCCACGCCUUUAAAAAGAGACCAAACUUAAAUAAGUUUCAAAACAUAAGCAUAAGUUACUAAACAUUGAUUCGUACACUUACAUAAGCUAAAAGGUUUAGAUUGUUGUCGUCCUUGUGGGAGUUUUUUUUUCCACUUAUGAUCUCUAGAAAUAUAACUCCCAAGCUGAAAACAUCUGAUUUUUCUGAAAAGAAACCUUCCAUUGCAUAUUCCGGUGACAUAUACCCGCUGCAAAAAACAAAAACAAAAAUUUCAUUCAAGUUGUUAAGGUAAAAGUAACAAUUCUUGUUGGAAAUGGAUACUUACUAUGUUCCAACAACCCUUGUUGUGUUAGCUUCAUCUUCAUUUACUUGAAAAACUCUUGCAAGUCCGAAGUCAGAUAUCUUUGGAUUCAGAUUGUCAUCUAACAAAAUGUUGCUGGCUUUUAGAUCUCUGUGUAUGAUCUUUAGUCUUGAAUCUCUGUGAAGGUACAAAAGACCUCUGCAAAUCCCUUCCAUUAUGUUGAACCGAGUCUUCC
RNAcentral lists this long non-coding RNA (4210 nucleotides) under Brassica rapa (field mustard). RNAcentral's name for it is "long non-coding RNA (BRAP_LNC007415)". Lineage: Eukaryota; Viridiplantae; Streptophyta; Magnoliopsida; Brassicales; Brassicaceae. The record is from RNAcentral.